UCUCUCCCCGUGUCUCUGCCCACGGCUCUGUGGCUCUGCCCAUCGCUUCUCUCCCCGCGCGUCGCCCACGACUCCACUCGCAAGAGCAGUUCCAAUCCCUCGCGCUCGCCGCCGCCCCCUCGCGCCCGGCCGACGCUCCGGCCGUUGCCUCGCGCUCCGCUCUCGCCUCCCAUGGGCGCGCGCCGCCGCCGCCCUCUCUCGCUGCCGACGCCGCCGCACUCGCCUCCCCCUCGCGCCGCCGCUCUCGGCACAAUUCCUCUUCCCAAUCGGCCCGUGACCUCUCCUCUCCCCCGCGCCUCUUGCCCUUCCAUCGUAUGCCGCCUCCCCCAAAAGCGCCGUUUGCGAGGCCCCUCCUCCAAGCCUCCUCGACCGAGACCCCCUCCUCCAAGCCUCCUCGACCGAGACCCCCUCCGCCACCUCGUCAUCCCCUUCCACGCCUCCCCCUCCCUAAAGCUUCGCGCCAUCCAUCCUGCGCCCGUGUGGAGGAGGCCAUGUAGGCAGCGGCCAUAUCCGCGAAGGAGGUGGCUGGAUCCACUGCGGAGGCUGCCGAUGUUGUGGUCAGCGCUAACUCCAUGCAGAUCCUCACCAGCAAGGUUCCACUGCACGAGCAGAAUGGUCUCUGGCUCCCCACGACCUACUAACUCACCGAUCCCCAACUCCAGUUUCCUAUUAGAUUAAAUUCUUGAUGCAUGUCUCCAAGUGUUCCUCACCAUCUUCUAAGCGUAAUGAUCCCUCUGUCAAGUUCACUUGUUGCAACAAAUACAUUGUGAUUCAUCUUAAUGUUACAUUUCUUCAAGACUGCUGGUGAGUAGUAGUGUGAUUAGAGCUGACAUUCCUUGUAAUUGUUGCUGUCCAGUUCAUGCUAAUAAGGCUGUCGAAGAGGCUGGUUCUAUAUAGUCAUAGAUUUUUGUUGAUUAACAUCCAGUUAAAGAUGCCAGCUACAGCUAUCAGAGAAAUAAUAUAGUUCCUCUGAAAGAUUUCUUCCUAUUCUGUUCAUGGUCAGAGGGUGUUCAGGUGAACACAAUUCAUUAGCUCGUUUAAUUGUGAGCUUGCGAUGAAAUAAAAGAACUGAAAGCUUUUAAGCAUUUGGAUUGGACAGGCAUUUGAAGGGACAUCGACAAGACGACAAGGACACCAGCGAGUUCAAGCUGUCCGUCAUGGUGGAUGGCCCGUGGCGACUGAGUUCUUGACACAGUAUAUAUGAUGAAUCGGCCAUAGUAGUUUUGUAAAUGCCUUGGGGUGGAUGCAUUCUUGUCUCCAAACCACCUGAUCAACAGCUGAAGAUUCAGAGGUGACAAAAUCGUGAUACUGGUUAUGAACUUAUGCAUAUGGAGGAAAAAGAGGAGAAUGGGCAUAUUGCUCAGCUGUUCUUGCACCGCUGUACCUGUUUUGUCAUUCAAAAUUGUUAAGAUGAAGCACACAAAAGAAGCAAUAUCAUUUCCUCUAAAACAACACUGGCUAAAUGUGUUUCUGAAUAUAAUUUGCUUGGUUCAUUUGGCAA
Long non-coding RNA from Panicum virgatum (switchgrass), 1501 nucleotides. RefSeq lists it as uncharacterized. The record is from RefSeq and is a predicted model, not a curated record. Lineage: Eukaryota; Viridiplantae; Streptophyta; Magnoliopsida; Poales; Poaceae. The transcript is spliced from 4 exons.